CCANAGCUAUUGUUCUCAGCGUACCUGUUCUGUAAUUCUCUUUCCUACAGAAGUAAUUUGUUUCUUUUACUUUUCAAGAUGGCUUCUAUUUUUUCUGCAUGCAAGUUCCAUAUUUAGUACAGUAUAGGGUGUAUAAGAUACUUUGUUUUUAGACUGAAAAGCUAUGGAAUCUGGUAGAUCCAGUAUAUCACCGGGACAUAUUUAUCUAAGCAGAAACAUGUUACCACAAAGACUUGGAUUUCUUUGCUUUGGAAAGGUUUUCAAUUGCAUCAGUGCUUUAAAAAUCAUCGUUGUGUUAUCGAAAAGUGAGAAUGAGUGAUUUGUCAGAAAGAAAAAAAAAAUGUGUUCCAAGUAGACCUCAGGUGAUUUCCUUAAUCAUACGUUCAUAUUAUGGGCCUUUAAAAAAAAAUAAUCCGAAUGUUUUCACUGAAAACUAUGAAAAUGCAGUUGUAAGCUACUGUGUCAGUUAGGAAUUAGAGGUUCUUAGACCCAUGGUUUAUUCCAUAGCUGUGAGCACACUAAGUCUCCAUUCUAAAAUUUAUUUUGAUUAUAAUUAAGUAGAAGUAGAGCUUUUAACUACUUCACUGCUAGUUUUUGACACCAUCAGCUGUGGUUGAGUUUACCAAGAUCAGAUAAUAGACUACUUUAACAAAAUAUCUUUUUUUUGUUGUUGUUUUUUGAGAACUCUAAAAAAUGCAGGUACUUAAAGAUAGUUUAGUCAGUUUUUUCUUCAUUUACACAAAAUUAUAAUUUGGUUUUGGAAAACACCCUGAUUGGUUUUUUUCCUUAGUUUUACACCCCAGAAGAAAAAGUUUAGUCUGUAGAACCAGUUGAUGAGCUGAGUAUGUUUGUAAACAAUCCUACACUCACAAGAGAAUUAAGAACACAGCCGUCUCAGUUGUGUGAUGGGCUUAGUUUGGGAUCAUGAACUAGACAGGAAAUUGUGGCUCUGUCUUUGCCCAGUUGUCAGCCACCUGCUACCCUUCGAACACAACAGUUUUCACUGAGAAAAUGUAAAUAAUCAGUGCCGGAUAUAUAUGUAAUAAUUGGAAAUACAACUCAGAACAUACAGGUCACUAAUAGUAACAUCAUAAUUGCAUGAGUAAAUUGACAGAACACUGUGAAUCAACUAUAAUGGAAAAAAUAAAAAUAAAAAAUAAUUACAUGAGAAAAUGAGAUCAAUAUAUUAAUCCUAUAUGCAUGCAGGCAGAGCCAUUUAGAGUUUAUAUUAUAAACAAUGUGAUGAUUUUAUGAAAAUAAUUGCAUCUUGGGCAAACAAAAAUAUAUAUGGUCAUCCCUUGUUAUACAUGGGGGAUUGGUUCCAGGACUGGCCCCAGAUUCCAAGAUCUGUGGAUCUGGUCCCUUAGCGUCAUCUCCACAAUGCUUGGUUCUGCAUUCAUGGAUUCAACCAAUCACAGUUUGUGCACUCUUCUAUGUAUUUACUGGAAAAAAACACAUUUGAAUGGACUCAUGUAGUUCAAACCCAUGUUGUUCAAGUGUCAACUGUAUACAUUUGUCACUAUGUUGAUAGACACUCAAACUCAGUAGUAUGGAUUUUUUUAAAUGGAACCCUGAGGGUCACUGUCUGGGUGAUUGGUGACCUUGUAGCAAAAACGUAUAAAAAAGUCACAUCUGGCCUUUAGGACUUUUUAUUUUUUAUUUCUGUUUUAUUUUUCAUAUCAAUUUUAUUUUUAAAAACUUUUUUGGGACCUGGGAACCUCCAUAUGCCACAGAUGUGGCCCUAGAAAAAGACAAAAAAAAACAAACAAAAAAACUUUAUUAAAUUAUAGUUGAUUUACAGUGUAUUGGUCUCAGAUGUACAACUAAGUGAUUCAUAGAUAGACAGAUAGACAGACAUAGAUAUAGAUGUUAUACACACAAACAAUGGAAUACUACUCAACCAUAAAAAAUGAAAUAAUACCCUUUGUAGCAAUAUAGAUGGACCUCGAGAUUAUCAUACUAAGUAAGUCAGAGAAAGAUAUAUUUCGUAUGAUUUUGCUUAUAUGUGGAAUCUAAGAAAAGAUAUAAAUGCGCUUAUUUACAAGACCGACUCACAGACAUUGAAAACAAUUUUAUGGUUACCAAAAGGAAAAGGGUGGGGAGGGAUAAAUUAGGAGUUUGGGGUUGAAAUAUACACAGUAGUAUGCGUAAGAUAGAUAACCAAGAAAGACGUACUGUAUAGCACAGAAAAUUAUACUCAAUAUCUUGUAUAUAUGCAACCUAGAAUGGAAAAGAAUCUAAAAAAGAAUAAAUAUAAGGGAUUUUUUUAAAACUUGGGAGUGUAAGAGAGCCCAUUUAAAAGGAGAUUGAGGAGUUCUUGUCAUGGCUCAGUGGUUAACGAAUCCUACCAGGAACCAUGAAGUUGCAGGUUCGAUCUGUGGCCUUGCUCAGUUGAUUAAGAAUCCGGUGUUGCCGUGAGCUGUGGUGUAGGUCACAGAUGCAGCUCAGAUCCUGCGUUGCUGUGGCUCUGGCAUAGGCUGGUGGCUACAGAUCCGAUUAGACCCCUAGCCUGGGAACCUCCACAUGCCGCGAGAGCGGCCCCAGAGAAGGCAAAAAAAAACAAAAAAAUAAAAAAUAAAAGGAGGGCAAAACCUCAUUUUUAUAAUGUGCACUCAUAUUCAUGGUAGAAAUAUUAUAUAUUGUCUUUUACUCCCUGAUCAUUUACAUAAUAUCUUUACUGAUUUUACUGUGUCUCCCAGAAUGUAGCCAUUGACUUGCCUCUUAAGAUUUAGUUAAGAAUUAGUUACCGCCUCAUUCCAUAGACGUUGAAAAGUUUGAACCCACUUCCCUCACCAUCCCCUGUCAAGAUUUCUUUGAGUUUCCAGGGUUCUUUUGGCCAUUUCGUGUUUUGGCUCCUUUUCCAACAGAAUCUUUAAUCUCAUUUGUAUGUUCCCUUCCAUACCUGUCCCUUUCUCUUCUGUCUGCACAAAUGUGAACAUGAGCCUCACACUCCUUUCCAAGAUUUUUGCAGAAAAAAAAAUCCUUCAGUGCCUUAUGAAUCUAGAGAUUCUGUUGAAAGAAGUUUUAGAAUCCCAGUAAUCCCAGUAAUUUAAAACUUAAACAUCCCUGUUCUUCAGGAUCUUACUGGCCAUCCCUUCUUCACAGACUCUGGGAUUUUGCAAAUUGCUGAUCUCUCUUUCUUUCUUGAAUCUCUGUAAUAUUUUUCAUAGAGAGGUUUAUCUCCACUGUCUCAUUUCUCUCCUGUCUCCCUUGCCCUCAAGUGGCUCAUAAAGAUGUUUACCUAAAUAAAGGCAGUUUCUUCCCCAAGAGACUCUGGGAUCAGCUGUUGCAAUAACACUUAUUUCCCCCACAAUAGAUACAUUUGUCAUGCAAAAUAUUGCCAUUCUCAGCCCGUGAGCUAUCAUUUCUCUGUGUUUCUUUAUCUUGGAGCACAUUGGCAGAUUUUUUGUUUCCAGUUACAGCAGGCUUUGAUUACUUUGGCCAUCUGUGCCAAGGCCAGAAGACAUUGGUCCUCACCCAUCCAGUGGCAAGGUAGGAGAGUCACCUUGGAUGCUCCUCAUGCUUUCCCACAUUAUGACACAUAUUCAAUAUGGAUAAGGCAUACUCACAAGAGUAAAUGAAUAAGGUUGUUAUGUGGCCAAAGAUGACUGUCCAAGGGCUCCAGCUGUUCUGUGGGCUCUGGCCACCCAGGCCCCAUCCACCCAACCCAGGACCAACAAGGAGAUCAGUAUGGAAGCAUGCCUUUAAACAGCAUGUGGCCACCAGUUGGGAAGCUCAGAAAUAUGGUAGUCUUACUCAAGCCAGGGAAAAUCAAAGCAGCUCCUUGUCUGUUUGGACCUGAAGUCUUUGUUUGGGACUUCUUAUGAUACUUUAAGGAGGUAUAAUUUCUCUUCUAUAUGAUUAAAUAUAUAUUGCAUUAAAGUAUAUUACCUCCCACUGUGGAACUCUUAAAAAUCCAAAUCCAAAAGCCUACCCUACAAUAACAGUGUUACUGGAUUGUAUUUCAUUAAGUCAUGUUUCCAAAUGUACUCUAUUAAGAUGCAAUCUAAAACUGCCUUUAGUGUUUAUUAUUAUUUUAACAUUCUAGUCUUUGCUUCUUUUAAUUAGCUGGAUAAUUUGGAGGGGGGGUUUAGAACAUCUGGGGGAGAAUCACCUUUACACGUGGGUGGUUACUUCCAAAGCUUUUCAAAAGGCAUGGAAUAUGAUCGUUUUUUUUUCAUCCAAUCAUUCAUUCAAGAAGUGGUGGCUGAAUGCCUGGUUUGUGCUAAGGAGAGAAAGGAGAAAAGUAUGUCAUAGUUACUUCUUCCAGGAACUAUGGGAACUAGAGUCCAGUGGAGAAACAGUUCUUGGAUACUUGAAACAUUGAUGUUAUGGAUAAAAGAGCUUAUAGUUGAUGACAAGAGUGAAAGAGGAACUCCCCUAAAAGUGUGCUCAGGGUGAGGAAGCUCUGUUAGGGGGUAAGGUUUAAUUUUAGCUGGUUCAUGUAGGAUGAAUUGGAUUUAGAAUAGCUAGAAAUGAGCUAUUCCAUGGAUUCUUGCAGAGUUCAGUUUGGUAUAAGAAAGGGUUUGUUUUCAAAUAAAAUAACUUCAGGAAGAUUGGUAAGCAUUGGAACUAAGAGUUUUUCCAAGUAAAACUGUAUUUAUUUUCAUGAAAGAGAGGGCAAAAUAAAGAAGAAAUGAUCAGUGAUGUUGGCAUAAUUCUUGUGUAAAACGAUCCAGCAUAAUGUAGGCACUAAAUAUUGGCAAAGGAUCAGGUGUUAACUGUUCAGAUGGGUGGUUAUUGUUCUGAUAAUGAAGAAUAAGUGUCUCAAAAUUGUUGCCUACUAAGAGGGCAGAAAUAGGAAUAAUGUGCAUUUUUAAGACCCUGUAAAUAUUUUAUUUGUUCAUAACCAGCACCUUUAUUGAAAGGAAACACUUUUGCUAUUUUGUGACAAUUUAUCUUAUUAGACAUGCAACAAGAUCUGACUGAUGACCAGAAAAGUAAGGGUUGUCCUUCUGUCUUCUCAUCCCACCUCAGAGUGACCCAUUAGAGAUUACUUUUCUUUUUUUCUUCAAGAUUGCUUUAGAGCUUGCAGUAGAAAUGACAUAAAACUGUGAUUUUUGAGUUCCUCUGGGCCAAGCAGCCAGGAGCAGUUUCAAUUUCUAGAAAGAAGCAAGGCUGAAUUCUUGUUGGUUUUUUUUCUUGAGUGUGCUGUUCUGGAAUAAAUUCUUCUCAUGAGUUUUAAAAAUUAGUCUGUAUGUGAAAGUUGCCCAAGAAUUAGAGGAUAGAGGGGCCGGAAAGGGAAAGAAGAAACACAAAACAGCCUAGCUAUUCUACUGUUGUUGUUGUAAUCAAUAGAAUAACUCAACAAUGGCAAAUAUUCUUUGUGCCGAUUGAAAAGAAAUGGACUCUUUUACUAUUGAGCAGGUUAUGCUUGUGUAUGAAGUUUUGCAAUUGAAACUUUAAAUUGUUCACACAAGGACCGGUUAUUCAAUUUAUAAAGCAGUCACUUAGAUAACUUAUCUCAUUCUUUAAAUGUUUUAUACCUACUUACCAGCUAAGCUACCCUGGCGUACGUGGGUAGCUAUACCUCUUCUUUCGCUGCUUGCCUUUCCCCCCACAUCUUCAUGUACUGUGAUCAUCUUUCCAAGCCAAAACAUCUAGAUUUCCCUCAUCCUUAUGAAUGGCAUGGCAAUAUUGGAUGGAACAGAAUGGAUGUGUCACAAUUUAUUCAAGGAGUUUCCUUUAACAAAGUGCAGGAAAACUUAUCAGUGCUCAUAAUUAAAUUAGAAUUGGAGAAGGCAUUUACUAUUUGAUUUAUUUAAAGAAUUCCACAAGCCCUAGCAGGGGUGUGUGUGUGUGUGUGUGUGUGAAUUAGAAAUGGCAUGCAACAUUUUUCAAAUAGAAAAUCCUUUGCUAAAGUUACCCAUAAAGGGCAAAAUACAUUCUGUCUUUACGGAUCCACACACAAGACAAAAGCCUUCUAUGGUCUGCAUAAAGUCUCCUGCAGCUUGGGCUGGCCUCCAUUCUUUUUUUAAGGAGAAAUCUGAUUUUGAUGGUUCCAUUGCCCUUCUUCUCUGUGCGUAUAAGAUUAUGGUGGACUAGGUGGAACCUAACAAAAAGAUAGAAGUGAACUUAUUUGCAGAACAGAAACAGACUCGAAGACUUUGAAAAACUUAUGAUUACCGAAGAGGACAGGUGGGGAGGGGAGGGAGGUAUGGACUAGGGGUUUAGAAUAUUGGAAAUAUUCUAAAAUUAUGUUGUCAUGAUGGUUGUACAACUAUAAAUAUAAUACAAUUCAUUGAAUUAUUAAAAAAUGAAGUAAAAUUAUGGCGGAGCUUUAGCUUCCUAACUGCUCUCCGUAUUCACUGAGGGAUCAGCUCCUUCCUUCCCUAUUCUCCUGGAGUUGGCAGGCAUCGUGGGCAUGUUUGGGUGUCCUGAAGAUCUGCACCAGCUCUCUUCUCUUUAAGAUUAAUUUUGCUGCUUUAUUGUAAGUAGAACUGGAACUACUCUUCUGUAAGGUGUGGUGCAGGACUUGGUCCUGUUUUCAGAGAAUCUUCCAUCCUUGCUUUCUUCCCUCAUUUUGAACACACCUUGAUGUUUUGGUCUGCCUGAUUAUAACGAUACUAAAUUAUUUUAUUUUACCUAUGUGGAUCAAAAAUUUCCAGUUCAUUUAUUCACAUCUCUGCAAAUAUUGCUGUAUAAAAGUGACUUGAAGGUUGUUUUUCAUACAACAAAGAACAAUAUCUCAUAUCUUUAAUUUCAGCCCCAAGGUUGAAAUAAAUGCGUUUUAACAAAACAGAUUUAUUGGGAAGUCAAUGCUGAGAAGGAAAUGUGUCUAUUAUCUAUUUAGGAGUUUACUGAAGAUAGUCACUUUUGUAAUUUAGGAAAUAAAGUCUUUCAGAAAUAUACAGAAUUAAUCUUACCUUUUGAGUUGUUAUAGAAGGAGAGAAUUCUUAUUUGUUCAAAAUUCAGGUGAAGUUUAAUACUGUUGCCUAAAGCCCACCGGCUUCAUUUUGUGUGACAUCACCAGGCAGCACAAUGCCACCAUAUGCAUCAUGACUCCCAUUCUUCAAAGAAAAAAAAUUAAAAUGGGUCAGUGGGAAAAGAAAAAUUUAAUGUCUUUUAAAUAGAGGAACUUGAGAAAACUCCAUAGUGCUCACCCACUUGGAGAUAUUUCCACGGAUUGGUAGCUAAGCAUUUAGACUAGAUAGGUUUAUUUCUACAUGUAAAAUGAUAUCUGUACCAAGAAAUAUUUGUGAAAUAGGAAAUCUCUAGAAAAUAAUGAAAAAUUAUGAAGCAUGCCCACAGACAAGAGUCAGCAAAAAAAAAAAAAAA
RNAcentral lists this long non-coding RNA (7278 nucleotides) under Sus scrofa (pig). RNAcentral describes it as "lncRNA (ENSSSCG00030012549.1)". The record is from RNAcentral. Lineage: Eukaryota; Metazoa; Chordata; Mammalia; Artiodactyla; Suidae.